This 474-nucleotide ribosomal RNA is filed under the name uncultured bacterium. RNAcentral describes it as "bacterial SSU rRNA". It matches the Rfam family "Bacterial small subunit ribosomal RNA", at positions 335 to 801 of the family's 1533-position model. The record is from RNAcentral.
ACUCCUACGGGAGGCAGCAGUAGGGAAUCUUCCACAAUGGGCGCAAGCCUGAUGGAGCAACACCGCGUGAGUGAAGAAGGGUUUCGGCUCGUAAAGCUCUGUUGUUAAAGAAGAACACGUAUGAGAGUAACUGUUCAUACGUUGACGGUAUUUAACCAGAAAGUCACGGCUAACUACGUGCCAGCAGCCGCGGUAAUACGUAGGUGGCAAGCGUUAUCCGGAUUUAUUGGGCGUAAAGAGAGUGCAGGCGGUUUUCUAAGUCUGAUGUGAAAGCCUUCGGCUUAACCGGAGAAGUGCAUCGGAAACUGGAUAACUUGAGUGCAGAAGAGGGUAGUGGAACUCCAUGUGUAGCGGUGGAAUGCGUAGAUAUAUGGAAGAACACCAGUGGCGAAGGCGGCUACCUGGUCUGCAACUGACGCUGAGACUCGAAAGCAUGGGGUAGCGAACAGGAUUAGGUACCCUGGUAGGAUAGCG